RNAcentral lists this ribosomal RNA (414 nucleotides) under uncultured prokaryote. RNAcentral's name for it is "bacterial SSU rRNA". It matches the Rfam family "Bacterial small subunit ribosomal RNA", at positions 505 to 918 of the family's 1533-position model. The record is from RNAcentral.
GUGUCAGCAGCCGCGGUAAUACGAAGGGGGCUAGCGUUGUUCGGAAUUACUGGGCGUAAAGGGCGCGUAGGCGGUACUUCAAGUCAGGCGUGAAAGCCCCGGGCUCAACCUGGGAACCGCGCUUGAGACUGGAGAACUAGAGUUCGGGAGAGGAUGGUGGAAUUCCCAGUGUAGAGGUGAAAUUCGUAGAUAUUGGGAAGAACACCGAUGGCGAAGGCAGCCAUCUGGACCGACACUGACGCUGAGGCGCGAAAGCGUGGGGAGCAAACAGGAUUAGAUACCCUGGUAGUCCACGCCGUAAACGAUGAGUGCUAGACGUUGGGGUCCUUAGGGCUUCGGUGUCGCAGCUAACGCAUUAAGCACUCCGCCUGGGGAGUACGGCCGCAAGGUUAAAACUCAAAUGAAUUGACGGGG